RNAcentral lists this ribosomal RNA (2209 nucleotides) under Rickettsiales bacterium. RNAcentral describes it as "partial 23S ribosomal RNA". It matches the Rfam family "Bacterial large subunit ribosomal RNA", at positions 600 to 2925 of the family's 2925-position model. The record is from RNAcentral. Lineage: Bacteria; Pseudomonadati; Pseudomonadota; Alphaproteobacteria; Rickettsiales.
CGUACCUUUUGUAUAAUGGGUCAGCGACUUAAUCUGUCAUGCAAGCUUAAGCCAGUAUAGGUGUAGGCGUAGCGAAAGCGAGUCUUAACAGGGCGUUUAGUAUGGCGGAUUAGACCCGAAACCGGAUGAUCUAGUUAUGGCCAGGUUGAAGGUGAGGUAACACUCACUGGAGGACCGAACACACUAAUGUUGAAAAAUUAGGUGAUGAGCUGUGACUAGGGGUGAAAGGCCAAUCAAAUCCGGAUAUAGCUGGUUCUCCACGAAAUCUAUUUAGGUAGAGCGUCAUAUGUUUACCUUCGGGGGUAGAGCACUGUAUAGGCUAGGGGGUCCAAAAGACUUACCAAACCUUAACAAACUCCGAAUACCGAAGAGUAUAGUAUGGCAGACAGACAGCGGGUGCUAAGGUCCGUUGUCGAGAGGGAAACAGCCCAGACCGUCGUCUAAGGUCCCAAAAUUAUUGCUAAGUGGUAAAGGAAGUGAUUAGACCAAAACAACCAGGAGGUUGGCUUAGAAGCAGCCAUCCUUUAAAGAAAGCGUAAUAGCUCACUGGUCUAAAUAAGUCUUUUUGCGCCGAAAAUGUAACGGGGCUCAAGCAAUAUACCGAAGACACGGAUUUGCAAUUUAUUGCAAGUGGUAGUGGAGCGUUGUGUAAGUCUGUGAAGGUGAAUCGUGAGGUUUGCUGGAGAUAUCACAAGUGAGAAUGCUGACAUGAGUAACGAUAAAGCGGGUGAGAAACCCGCUCGCCGAAAAUCUAAGGUUUCCUUCGUUAAGCUAAUCUUCGAAGGGUUAGUCGGUACCUAAGGCGAGGCCGAAAGGCGUAGUCGAUGGAAAUCAGGUUAAUAUUCCUGAACCAGUGGGUGAGUGACGAAUUCCAUUAUCUUGUAUUUCCUUAUUGGAUUGGAAAUGCGGGGUUUGGGGUUCCAGGAAAUAGCCCCCACAUUAGGCCGUACCAAAACCAACACAGGUAGAUGGGUUGAGAAUACUAAGGCGCUUGAGAGAACUGUACUGAAGGAACUAGGCAAAUUGCAUCCGUAACUUUGGAAUAAGGAUGACCUAUCAUUGGGCAACCAAUGGUAGGUGGCACAGAAAUGGGGGUAGCGACUGUUUAUCUAAAACAUAGGGCUCUGCUAAAUCGUAAAGAUGAUGUAUAGGGUCUGACGCCUGCCCGGUGCUGGAAGGUUAAUUGAUGGGGUGCAAGCUCCUGAUCGAAGCCCCAGUAAACGGCGGCCGUAACUAUGACGGUCCUAAGGUAGCGAAAUUCCUUGUCGGGUAAGUUCCGACCCGCACGAAUGGCGUAACGACUUCCCCACUGUCUCCAGUACAGACUCAGUGAAAUUGAAUUUGCCGUUAAGAUGCGGUAUUCCUACGGUUAGACGGAAAGACCCCGUGCACCUUUACUAUAGCUUUGCAUUGAAUUUAAGACUAAAAUGUGUAGGAUAGGUGGGAGACUUUGAAGCUGGUUCGUCAGGAUCGGUGGAGUCACCCUUGAAAUACCACCCUUCUUAUUUUUAAAUUCUAACCAGAAUAUCUUAACGAUAUUUGGGACAUUGUAUGGUGGGUAGUUUGACUGGGGCGGUCGCCUCCUAAAGAGUAACGGAGGCGCGCAAUGGUAAGCUCAGACUGGUCGGAAAUCAGUUGUAGAGUGUAAUGGCACAAGCUUGCCUGACUGCGAGACGUACAAGUCGAGCAGAGACGAAAGUCGGUCAUAGUGAUCCGGUGGUUCUGCAUGGAAGGGCCAUCGCUCAACGGAUAAAAGGUACGCCGGGGAUAACAGGCUGAUGAUUCCCAAGAGUUCAUAUCGACGGAAUCGUUUGGCACCUCGAUGUCGACUCAUCACAUCCUGGGGCUGAAGAAGGUCCCAAGGGUUCGGCUGUUCGCCGAUUAAAGUGGUACGUGAGUUGGGUUCAGAACGUCGUGAGACAGUUCGGUCCCUAUCUGCCGUAGGUGUUUGGAAAAUUGAGAGGAGCUGACCCUAGUACGAGAGGACCGGGUUGGACGUACCAAUGGUGUUCCAGUUGUUCCGCCAGGGGCAUUGCUGGGUAGCUAAGUACGGACGGGAUAACCGCUGAAAGCAUCUAAGCGGGAAGCCUCCCUCAAAACUAAUUUUCCCCAUUAGGGUCGUGGUAGACUACCACGUUGAUAGGCUGGGUGUGUAAGCAUAGCAAUAUGUUUAGCUAACCAGUACUAAUAACCCGAUCGACUUUGUAUG